AUGUUCUAACGUUGGCCCCUGACCGGGGUUGCGGACAGUGUCUGGUGGGUAGUUUGACUGGGGCGGUCUCCUCCCAAAGCGUAACGGAGGAGCACGAAGGUUAGCUAAUCCUGGUCGGACAUCAGGAGGUUAGUGCAAUGGCAUAAGCUAGCUUGACUGCGAGCGUGACGGCGCGAGCAGGUGCGAAAGCAGGUCAUAGUGAUCCGGUGGUUCUGAAUGGAAGGGCCAUCGCUCAACGGAUAAAAGGUACUCCGGGGAUAACAGGCUGAUACCGCCCAAGAGUUCAUAUCGACGGCGGUGUUUGGCACCUCGAUGUCGGCUCAUCACAUCCUGGGGCUGAAGUAGGUCCCAAGGGUAUGGCUGUUCGCCAUUUAAAGUGGUACGCGAGCUGGGUUUAGAACGUCGUGAGACAGUUCGGUCCCUAUCUGCCGUGGGCGCUGGAGAAUUGAGGGGGGCUGCUCCUAGUACGAGAGGACCGGAGUGGACGCAUCACUGGUGUUCGGGUUGUCAUGCCAAUGGCACUGCCCGGUAGCUAAAUGCGGAAGAGAUAAGUGCUGAAAGCAUCUAAGCACGAAACUUGCCCCGAGAUGAGUUCUCCCUGAGACUUUAAGUCUCCUGAAGGAACGUUGAAGACGACGACGUUGAUAGGCCGGGUGUGUAAGCGCAGCGAUGCGUUGAGCUAACCGGUACUAAUGAACCGUGAGGCUUAACCUU
Molecule: ribosomal RNA, 714 nt
Filed under: Klebsiella pneumoniae
Lineage: Bacteria; Pseudomonadati; Pseudomonadota; Gammaproteobacteria; Enterobacterales; Enterobacteriaceae
Description: partial 23S ribosomal RNA
Rfam family: Bacterial large subunit ribosomal RNA
Source: RNAcentral